This 478-nucleotide ribosomal RNA is filed under the name uncultured bacterium. RNAcentral describes it as "partial 16S ribosomal RNA". It matches the Rfam family "Bacterial small subunit ribosomal RNA", at positions 28 to 523 of the family's 1533-position model. The record is from RNAcentral.
GAUGAACGCUGGCGGCGUGCUUAACACAUGCAAGUCGAACGGUAAGGCCCUUCGGGGUACACGAGUGGCGAACGGGUGAGUAACACGUGGGUGAUCUGCCCUGCACUUCGGGAUAAGCCUGGGAAACUGGGUCUAAUACCGGAUAGGACCACUGCCUGCAUGGGUGGUGGUGGAAAGCCUUUGCGGUGUGGGAUGGGCCCGCGGCCUAUCAGCUUGUUGGUGGGGUGAUGGCCUACCAAGGCGACGACGGGUAGCCGGCCUGAGAGGGUGACCGGCCACACUGGGACUGAGAUACGGCCCAGACGCCUACGGGAGGCAGCAGUGGGGAAUAUUGCACAAUGGGCGCAAGCCUGAUGCAGCGACGCCGCGUGAGGGAUGACGGCCUUCGGGUUGUAAACCUCUUUCAGCACCGACGAAGCGCAAGUGACGGUAGGUGCAGAAGAAGGACCGGCCAACUACGUGCCAGCCGCCGCCGUAA